UUGCACGAAAGAAAGAUUCGCCUUCGUUUGAGUGAAUCAACCAUCGAGUCAUGUAGUGGUUGCUUCAAAAAAUGUGCAAUGUAUGAUAUGAAUUCAUGAUGCUUGGAGAUCUAUACGGCACGUGAUUGAAAGGCCGAUUUCAUAAAAGAAGAUCGACCAUUCUUAUGUACGAAGGAUACAUAAAUGGCUUCUCAGCUCUGAGAUUAGAACACGGCGAGUAGGGAUGGAAA
Molecule: long non-coding RNA, 230 nt
Filed under: Elaeis guineensis (African oil palm)
Lineage: Eukaryota; Viridiplantae; Streptophyta; Magnoliopsida; Arecales; Arecaceae
Description: long non-coding RNA (EGUI_LNC027578)
Source: RNAcentral